UACCAGCACCCCGAGUGGUCGGGACGAUUAUUGGGCCUAAAGCAUCCGUAGCCGGUCCUGCAAGUCUUCCGUUAAAUCCAGCUGCUCAACAGAUGGGCUGCGGGAGAUACUACAGGGCUAGGAGGCGGGAGAGGCAAGCGGUACUUUAUGGGUAGGGGUAAAAUCCGCUGAUCCAUAGAAGACCACCAGUGGCGAAGGCGGCUUGCCAGAACGCGCUCGACGGUGAGGGAUGAAAGCUGGGGGAGCAAACCGGG
RNAcentral lists this ribosomal RNA (254 nucleotides) under uncultured bacterium. RNAcentral's name for it is "partial 16S ribosomal RNA". It matches the Rfam family "Archaeal small subunit ribosomal RNA", at positions 474 to 728 of the family's 1478-position model. The record is from RNAcentral.